GACGCUGGCGGCGUGCCUAACACAUGCAAGUCGAACGGGGUGAAGCCCUUCGGGACUUCACUUAGUGGCGAACGGGUGAGUAACGCGUGAGGAACCUGCCUCAAAGAGGGGGACAACAGUUGGAAACGACUGCUAAUACCGCAUAAGCCCACGGCUCGGCAUCGAGCAGAGGGAAAAGGAGUGAUCCGCUUUGAGAUGGCCUCGCGUCCGAUUAGCUAGUUGGUGAGGUAACGGCCCACCAAGGCGACGAUCGGUAGCCGGACUGAGAGGUUGAACGGCCACAUUGGGACUGAGACACGGCCCAGACUCCUACGGGAGGCAGCAGUGGGGAAUAUUGGGCAAUGGGGGAAACCCUGACCCAGCAACGCCGCGUGAAGGAAGAAGGCCCUCGGGUUGUAAACUUCUUUUACCAGGGACGAAGGACGUGACGGUACCUGGAGAAAAAGCAACGGCUAACUACGUG
RNAcentral lists this ribosomal RNA (463 nucleotides) under uncultured bacterium. RNAcentral's name for it is "bacterial SSU rRNA". It matches the Rfam family "Bacterial small subunit ribosomal RNA", at positions 33 to 507 of the family's 1533-position model. The record is from RNAcentral.